CAAUCUUGGUAGGUUGUUAUGAGAAAUAAACAAAUGAAUACUUGUAAAACCUUGAGAAAGGCUCCUGAGUACAUAGCACUUAAUGAUUGAAUUUCUUGUCGUUAUUACUGUUAUUAUCUGUAGAAGCAGUAUAAUAGUCAUACAUUCAUUUCUGAGGGUAUGUUCAUUGGUGCUGCUCCGUGUUCAUGCUCUUAAUCCAAAUAAACUCCAGAUUUUUUUCACUAUGAUUUCGCCCUCUAAAACCUGUAAGAGUGCUUCCAAGAAUUUGCCUCGUCUUCCUCAUUAUGAUAACACACUAAGACCAUCUUUGAUGUGAAAUCACUUCUAGAGUUUCUAAUUACUCUGGUCUUUCCACCUUUCCUAAGAUAGCUGUUCCUUGUUUGUAAGUUUAGCUUGUAUUUAUAAUUAGCUUUGAGCCUCUGCUUUUAUCUGUCCACUCCAGGUAUCCUUUCCAUUCUCUUGAAUAAUUUUGCAUUUGAGCAGUCAGUUUGCGGUCACACCUAGCAGUGAUGUUCAAGUUGGGGCGAUUCUAAGAAUGGUCUCAAAAACUGUAAACAUGCCAGCUUUCAGGUCUCUGCGUUUUCUUCAGAACACAUCUUAGUUUUCCUUUUGACAUGCCACCAUUUUAACUUUUUAUUAUAGGUUCACAGGAAGUUGGAGAAAAUUGUACAUAGAGUUCUUUGAACACUUCCCUCAGUUUUUGCCAAUGGCCACAUCUUACAUAACCACAGUGCGAUAUGAAAACCUGGGAGGUAACACUGAUACAAUGAUGUUAAGUAGACGGACGGGCUUGCACAGGUUUCACUGAUUUUUACAUGCGUGUGUGUUUCUAUGCAAUUUUAUCCCAUGUGUAUUCAUAUGAACAUUAUUACAAACAAAAUACAGAAUUUUCCCCUCACUAUAAAGGAACUCCCUCAUGCUACCAUGUUAUUGUCAUACCUGCCCCACCCCUGUCCCCUGGUGACUCCUAGUCUGUUCUCCACCUGCUUAAUUUUGUCAUUUUGAGGAUGCUAUAUAAAUAGAAUCACACUGCAUGUCACUCUGUGAAAUUAUUUUUGUUCAUUAAACACAAUGCCCUUAAGAUCGAUCCUAGUUCUUCAUUUAUCAGAAGUCUGAUGCUCUUUAUUGCUGAGCAGAAUCCCACCGGGGGAAUGCACCAGAUUUUAUUCAUCCAUUCGCUAUUGGAGGACGUUGGGGUUGUUUCCCCCAUUCUACUCUGCACGAUCCUGUGUAAGUUCUUGUGGGAAUGUGUUUUCAUUUCUCUGGGAUAAAUGCUCAGAAGUACAGUUGCUGGGUCAAAUAGGUAGUGCAUGUUUGGUCUUAUAGGAAACUUACACUUAUUUUCAAAUUAUUUUCUGGAGUGACUGUACCAUUUUACAUUCAACCGGCAACAUAUGAAAGAAGUGCCAUUUUUAAUAACAAUAGUAUUUGCUCCUUGAAGAAAUCUAUGAAAAUCCAGAUUUUGAAAAAUAUAGGGCUUUUCUGGCGAUGAAAAUGCCCCACACUUAGAUCAUGGUGAUGGUCGUACGACUCUGGGAAUGCGCUGAAACCCACCGAACUGGAUGCUUUAAAUGGCAGAUUUCAUGGUGUGUGAGUUAUGGCUCAGUGAAGACAGUAAAAAAGAAGGCUAUUAUAGGAAGGGAUCUCAUUAUAUUACAAAAAAUGUUAUUCCUUCACCAAACUUCUAAUAUUUAUGAAGAAUUUACCAUGUGGCAGGCAUUACAUGCAGUGCUUUCUAUACGUCAAAUCCUGACUCAUCUACUAAGUCACAUGAUCUUUUAACCAUUGUUAACUUCUGCAUCCUUUUCUGUAAAUGGGAAUAGUAAACAUUACCUCACUUGGUGAGGAUUAAAUGAAAUAAUGCUUAUGAAAUCAUUUAGAAUGCUGCCUGUACAGUGUCAUUAUCCUUAUUAUCAAAUUCAUGAAGACAUUUUCCUCUCAGCAGCUCAUAUCUACUUGAUAACAGUGUUAUGAGAGACAGAGCUGUGCGUAUUAAUAAAAGAUGACAGGUCUUGCAAUUGUGUAUAUAGGAGGACAAGGAAAGCAACUGACAUCUAUCGAUCACCCCGUAUGCACCAGACACUAUUUACUAGCCAGCAUGUUGCAUAUUUGGUCCAAAUAUUGCUCCAUGACAGGAAUAGUAGAAUCCUCAUUUUAUAGAAGAGGAAACAACUCAGAAAGGUUCAGAAAAUUUCCGAGUUUCGUAAAGCAAGUAUUUGAUGUAGCCAGGAUAGAAAACCAGGUCUGUGUCCCAAGUUCAUGUUUUUCUGCCUGCACAGAUGAAGGGAAUUGAUAUAAAUUAGACUUUUCCUCAGACGCUGCAAUUAAUUGAGGGCACUGCAGUUUUUCUCUCCUUUUUUAUUCAGAGUCUAUAAUUUAGCAUUUCUAAAGUUGUUGUAUUUUAAAUAUUUUAAACGUAUUUUAAAAAGAAAUCUGGAGAUCCUUAUGGCAGUUCAAAAAAAGCCCCAAUGAUUUAUUCAACCCGAAUUUCUAACUGUUUAAAGCUUGAAUCAAAGCUGCACUGCAAAAUGCAGGACUGCUGGUGGGAGAGCCCUUUGCCAGCAGUGCUCAGGAAGACACCUAGAGGUUAGAAGGCAAAGCACCCCGUGCCGAACUCCAUUAGAAAACAAAACAAAAAUCAAAAACUAAUUUCAGGCUAAGAAAAUUGUUUGUAAUAUUAUGGCAUCAAAACCAUUUCUCAAGUUUUUUCACCCAUGGAUUAGUCUUUGUGUUCUUUCCCUUUCUUCUUCAAACUCCUUUCUCUUUAGAAACUGCCAAGUGCUGUAAUGGAAGCAAAGAUGGGCCUCAAAUGUCAGCCAGUUGAUUGAGAAAAACAACAAAGAAAAGUUGUUUCCUUUGUAGUGAGCCUCAGAGAAUACGCAUCAUUCCUCAGGUUUAUGAAGGAACUUGGCUGCAGGUUCCCACUGGAAAGAAACACAAGGAUUUGGAAUUCUGCUCGGAAAGCUUAGGUCUUCCUGAUUUUCUGGAUCAGCAGAGACAGACUCAUAAUAGGCGCUUACAUUGAUGUGAGACAGGAGACCUGUGGGUAGGAACACACUAACUUACUCCCAGAGCUUUAAGUGGCCUGCUUCAUGUGAUGGCAUGUUAUGACUUAUUAUUUCACUUCAUCUAUUUUAUUAUGAGCGGGAGAAACAAGGGCUAGUUCCAUAUGAUUAACAAAACAAAACAAAAGUCUUGGGUUAGUUUAAGAGAUUCUCUGGACCAUGAGAAAUAACCUGAAAACUGGCUGAAAAACCUAACAAGAAUGAAAAACGGCACGCUGCAAGUUCCAGGAGGAGGCUGCAGAGGUCAGCUUCGGAUGCAUUUCAUUUCACAUUGUCACUGGUGGCUUGGGAAGAGGCUGUAAACCUAUUAUGGUGAUUAUAGCUGCAGAUGAGGGUAGCUAGGAUGGAGUUACAGACACUAGUGUACAUGGUACAGAGCCACUGAGAGAGAUUAGAAAAACAGGCAGGAAAUGAGCAAAUGAGAUCAGCCUGGAGAGGUAGAAACAAGCAUCUGGAAAAAUACAUAAUUUGAAAACCAGAGAGGUACUGAAAGGGAAGAUCAUACUUGGAAAGCAACAAUGGUAAAUAGACCUUUGAGUGGAUGUAUCAGUCCUGGACAUGUUUGUAACACGAUGGAAAAAAUCAUCUAAGGCUUGGUGUGCAUUUAGCUUUUUGGAGUGCAUUUUUUUCCUGAAUGGACAUUUCCAUUAUUUCAUUUGAUCGUCGGCCCAAAGAGGUUGGAAGCAAGUAAUUUAUUCUCCAUGCAAGAGAUGAGGAAAUGUUAAGUGAAUUGCUUAAGGUCAAACCAUUUGUUAAUCAAAUAGACAUGGCUAGAAUGUGGGUCGCUUGACUCCUUACUCUUUUUCUUUCACAACACCACCUUGUCUUUAAGUCUUGGAUCUCAGAAUAGUAAUUGUUUCUGAUUCAGCAUUUACCCAUCUCUUUCUGACACUGUGCCCAAUUUUACUUCACUGGAGACUGAGCUUAGUAUUACUGAGGCUUUGAACCAGACCCAAAACUCGCUUCUGCCCCCAGGCAUCUAGGAGGAAGCGAGGCGCUAUAUGGUGUGUUCACUAAGAGUCAACCUCAAUGUUAUCCUGUUGGCAGGCAAAUGAGUCCAUACAAAACUCUGCUGCCCCGAUCAGCCCCUUUGUCCUUCAGGAUUCUGCUCCAGGGAUCUGGACAGUACACUGCAGGGGACUCUGGGGCCGGCGGCCCACCCAGGUGGAGGCUUCCCACAUGCAGCUGGAUGUGUGAACCUGAAGCCGACGGGAGAGGACUGGCUGGAAAGAAGGGUUGGGAGGCAUUAUCUUAGCAGUGGAGUGAAUGCAUUAAUUUUGGGGGGCCAUGCACACUUUUGAGAAUCUGAACAAAACUGGAGACUCAUCUUCCCCAGAAUAACUGUGCAGAAAUAUAUACCCACAGAAUUUGUUUGACUCUCUUUUGUGGAUUCACGGGGCAACAUCGUGCACUAUUUUAAUUAAUGGGAUUAAUCCAGUUUCUUGGGGGCAUUCACAGAUUAUCAGGUACUUGCCAUUAUUUCACCGAAUCCUCAUGCCACGUAAAUUAUCUCCAUUCUACAGAGGUAGAAACUGAGCUUGAAAGAACUGUCCGGGGACGCCACAGUCAGCACACGGCAG
Manis pentadactyla (Chinese pangolin) is the source of this 4645-nucleotide long non-coding RNA. RefSeq lists it as uncharacterized. Lineage: Eukaryota; Metazoa; Chordata; Mammalia; Pholidota; Manidae. The transcript has 3 exons. The record is from RefSeq and is a predicted model, not a curated record.